RNAcentral lists this ribosomal RNA (395 nucleotides) under uncultured bacterium. RNAcentral's name for it is "bacterial SSU rRNA". It matches the Rfam family "Bacterial small subunit ribosomal RNA", at positions 28 to 429 of the family's 1533-position model. The record is from RNAcentral.
GACGAACGCUGGCGGCGUGCUUAACACAUGCAAGUCGAGCGGUAAGGCCCUUUCGGGGGUACACGAGCGGCGAACGGGUGAGUAACACGUGGGUGACCUGCCCUCAGCUCUGGGAUAAGCCUGGGAAACCGGGUCUAAUACUGGAUAUGACUCCAUGACGCAUGUUGUGGGGUGGAAAGCCUUGUGCGGCUGAGGAUGGGCCCGCGGCCUAUCAGCUUGUUGGUGGGGGAUGGCCUACCAAGGCGACGACGGGUAGCCGGCCUGAGAGGGCGACCGGCCACACUGGGACUGAGACACGGCCCAGACUCCUACGGGAGGCAGCAGUGGGGAAUCUUGCGCAAUGGGCGAAAGCCUGACGCAGCGACGCCGCGUGAGGGAUGGCGGCCUGGUGUAAC